AGCGCGCGUAGGUGGUUUGUUAAGUUGGAUGUCGAAAGCCCCGGGCCUCAACCUGGGAACUGCAUCCAAAACUGGCAAGCUAGAGUAUGGUAGAGGGUGGUGGAAUUUCCUGUGUAGCGGUGAAAUGCGUAGAUAUAGGAAGGAACACCAGUGGCGAAGGCGACCACCUGGACUGAUACUGACACUGAGGUGCGAAAGCGUGGGGAGCAAACAGGAUUAGAUACCCCGGU
RNAcentral lists this ribosomal RNA (230 nucleotides) under uncultured bacterium. RNAcentral describes it as "partial 16S ribosomal RNA". It matches the Rfam family "Bacterial small subunit ribosomal RNA", at positions 564 to 791 of the family's 1533-position model. The record is from RNAcentral.